UACAGAGGUCCCAAGCGUUGUUCGGAUUCACUGGGCGUAAAGGGUGCGUAGGUGGUGAGGUAAGUCUGAUGUGAAAUCUCCGAGCUCAACUCGGAAAUGGCAUCGGAAACUACCUCGCUAGAGGUUUGGAGGGGGGACUGGAAUUCUCGGUGUAGCAGUGAAAUGCGUAGAUAUCGAGAGGAACACCAGUGGCGAAGGCGAGUCCCUGGACAACACCUGACACUGAGGCACGAAAGCUAGGGGAGCAAACAGG
Molecule: ribosomal RNA, 253 nt
Filed under: uncultured bacterium
Lineage: Bacteria
Description: partial 16S ribosomal RNA
Rfam family: Bacterial small subunit ribosomal RNA
Source: RNAcentral